This 446-nucleotide ribosomal RNA is filed under the name Polystira sp. R-VEN-4. RNAcentral describes it as "partial small subunit ribosomal RNA". It matches the Rfam family "Microsporidia small subunit ribosomal RNA", at positions 752 to 1303 of the family's 1311-position model. Lineage: Eukaryota; Metazoa; Mollusca; Gastropoda; Neogastropoda; Turridae. The record is from RNAcentral.
UCCUAGCUAUAAAUUAAAUUGAAUUUACCAGAGUACUAUGAAUACUGUAAAAUUUAAAACUCAAAGGACUUGGCGGUGUUUUAGACCACUCAGGGGAACCUGUCUCAUAAUCGAUAAUCCACGUUAUACCUAACCCACUUUUGCUUUCAGCUUGUAUACCGUUGUCGUCAGGUAACUUUUUAGAAUCUAGAAGUUAGCUAAAAAUGAUGAGUUUAAACGUCAAAUCAAGGUGCAGCUAACAAGGGGGAGAGGAUGGGUUACAAUUAUUUAAUUAUAAUUACGGAAGAUUAUAAGAAUAGGUAAUUAAGAAGGAGGACUUGAAAGUAAAUUAGACUAUAAAAAUAAUUUGAAUAAGGCUCUGAAAUGCGCACACAUCGCCCGUCGCUCUUGUUGGAAAAUAAGAUAAGUCGUAACAUAGUAGGGGUAAUGGAAAUUGUUCCUAAACU